Molecule: long non-coding RNA, 1163 nt
Organism: Drosophila virilis
Lineage: Eukaryota; Metazoa; Arthropoda; Insecta; Diptera; Drosophilidae
Source: RefSeq, a predicted model, not a curated record
CUUUUAAACGUUUUUUUUAACGAUAAAUAAUAACUAGCACCUCAACCUGAUACGCUUCCUGCAUAAAGUGGGCAACUUUAUGGCCCCAGUGCGGGUAAUAACUAUUUUUGACUGAUGUUGGAAGAGAAACAAGUGCCUUGUUGCAUUUGCGGGCAACAAAGAGUUGAUGUAAACAAACAUCAAAUUAUAAAUAAAAGUGGCAAAUCUGUGCCAGUUCAUAAAUAUAUAUAUAUAUAUAAACAUUUUUGUGGCUGCCAGAAUAUUGCAUUCACCCACUUAAAAUUUACAUUUAUUUUCAAUUCUUUUCAAAUGUAGUAUUAAGUGCACACUGAAUGUCCUAAACGUAAGAGCGAUAGCAAACAAUGCUCUCGAAAAGGAAAGUAGCAAAUAUCAGAUCUCAAAGUCAACGCGACAUGUUCAAGUUUACAAAAGCUACACCACAAAGCGACAGGAAAGAAAAUCAAUAUGCAAAGGUUCAUCGAAGUCUGGAUACCCUUGCAGACGAAAGCUAGAGCAUAAGAACCCUAAAUAUUUCAUUAAACCGUUUCCCAACAAUGCUCUUACAAGUCCGUAAGGAAUUCUAAAAAAAAAAACUUUUUUUAAUGUUUCACUGACAGCAGUAAAAAGUACAGUUUCCUUCGGUUUGUUGCGUGCUGCAAACAUUUUGUAUUCAUAUAUUUUUCGAUUCAACAAGCAUAUCAUAAUUCAUUAAAAUUUGGCUCUCAAUUUGCAAUGCACUGCGCAAGCGAGUAGAAUAAGUGAGUAAAUCAAACAAGGCGAAAUUGCAAAUUUUAAAAUGCAAAAACAAUCAAGAGUCGUAAACAUUCAAGUGUUUACUUAAGCUGCUGUUAAAUCAGCUGUUUGCCGUAAAAUGCAACUGCCAAUCGGAAUUGACUUCAUUUAGUUAAGUGCAAAUUAUUUUGUGACCCAAUUAUGCACACUCUGCUACUAUUUAAUCGAUUAAUUAGCAUCCAUGAAUGAGUAUUCACUUCGAGUAGUGAAUAACAAAUGCAUUCAAGUGUGCAGUCACAAGACUUAACACCCGUUGCCUCAAGUGAAAUUGAAAUUAGUAACGAGUUUAGCUUUAACCCUGAGCUAGGGUCUCAAAAUUUGUUGCUUAUCACAGUUUAUUAAAGUUGUAUACCCUGCUUACAACGAGAAAA